AGUAACACGUAAGCAACCUGCCUAUCAGAGGGGAACAACAGUUAGAAAUGACUGCUAAUACCGCAUAUGCCUUGAGUUAUGCAUGUAACAAAAGGGAAAGGAGCAAUCCGCUGAUAGAUGGGCUUGCGUCUGAUUAGAUAGUUGGUGGGGUAACGGCCUACCAAGUCGACGAUCAGUAGCCGGACUGAGAGGUUGAACGGCCACAUUGGGACUGAGAUACGGCCCAGACUCCUACGGAAGGCAGCAG
Molecule: ribosomal RNA, 247 nt
Filed under: uncultured bacterium
Lineage: Bacteria
Description: partial 16S ribosomal RNA
Rfam family: Bacterial small subunit ribosomal RNA
Source: RNAcentral